RNAcentral lists this ribosomal RNA (253 nucleotides) under uncultured bacterium. Its description in RNAcentral is "partial 16S ribosomal RNA". It matches the Rfam family "Bacterial small subunit ribosomal RNA", at positions 524 to 776 of the family's 1533-position model. The record is from RNAcentral.
UACAGAGGGUGCGAGCGUUAAUCGGAAUUACUGGGCGUAAAGGGCGCGUAGGCGGCCUGCUAAGUCGAACGUGAAAUCCCUGGGCUCAACCCAGGAACUGCGUCCGAUACUGGUUGGCUUGAAUCCGGGAGAGGGAUGUGGAAUUCCAGGUGUAGCGGUGAAAUGCGUAGAUAUCUGGAGGAACACCGGUGGCGAAGGCGACAUCCUGGACCGGUAUUGACGCUGAGGCGCGAAAGCCAGGGGAGCAAACGGG